RNAcentral lists this long non-coding RNA (1515 nucleotides) under Sus scrofa (pig). RNAcentral describes it as "lncRNA (ENSSSCG00060005487.1)". The record is from RNAcentral. Lineage: Eukaryota; Metazoa; Chordata; Mammalia; Artiodactyla; Suidae.
UUUUUUUUUUUUUUUUUUUUUUGGACAAUCAUGUCAUCUGCAAAUAGAAGCAGUUUUUGUUCUUCGUAACUGGAAUGCUUUUUCUUUGUUUUUCCUGCCUUAUUGCACUUGGUAUGUCCUCCAGUGUAGUAGCAAAUAGAAGUGGUGAGAGCAGACAUCCUUAUUAGUGAUUUUAGGAGGAAAACAUUCAGUCUUGCACCAUUAGGUAUGAUGCUAACUAGAUUUCUUCGUAGAGGUCGUGGUAGGCAACCUCUGAGAUGGCCCUUAAUGAUCCCUACCUCAUGGUAGUCAUGCCUUUGUAUACUCCACUGCCAUUCAGUGUAGGCUUGACCUAGUGACUUGCUUCUAAGGAAUAAAGUAUGUUUAACAUAAUGGAAUAUCACUUCUGGGAUUUGGUUAUGAAGAGACUAUGAUUUCUGCCUUGAGUACUCUUGUACUCUCUCACUCACUUCCUCUGAGGGAAUCCAGGUGCCAUGUUGUGAGAUGCCCUAUGGCAAGGAAUUGAGGAAGCCAACAGCCAAGAAGACUCAAUCCAGUAUUCUGUGAAGAAUUGAGUCCUGCCAACAACCUUGUGUGUGAGCUUGGAAGUGGAUCUCCCUAUCACCAUCUCUGUUUCCCAACAUAUUUAUUUUUCUACGGUAUCAUCUGACCUGAUGUUCCCAGUAAGAGAAUGAACUCUGGAGCCAGACUGCCUGGGAUCAAAUCCAGCUCUGCUAUGAACCAUCUGUGAGAUACUAAAACUUUCUCUUUGAGAAAGGAGACAAGACGUGGAGUAGAAGGACUUGAGCUCACCUCCUUUCACGAAAACACCAGAAUCACAACUAACAGGUGAACGGUUUGGCAAAAAAAGCCUGGAACCUACCAAAAGAAGAUAUUCUACAUCCAAAGACAAAGAAACCACAAUAAGAUGCUUCACCAAGUGGCAUUUUAUAACUGUGCAGGACAUCUGUUACUUUUAUCAGCCCAGCAUAUUUUUCUCCUUCUUGUCAAAAGCCCGGCAUCUAUUCCUCCUCCUGCUUUGGGUUUCUGCUUCAGCGGGACUAUCAUUCAAGGAGACAACUGUGGGAACUAUCACAGAGCUUCUUAGAAGACCUGGUGGAAUCAAGCUGCUAUUGUCUACACAGCAAGGACUUCAAUAACACAACUUUAUGUUGACCCUUCCCCUUACUUCGUUUUAAUAUCACAAAUCCCUCGCUCCAAUUCUUGGGGGUCUGGGAGGUGCAUCAGGUCAUUUAUUAGUUUAAUCUUUCUAAAAAAUUUUCUCUGGGAGCUUCUGAUAUGCUUCACCACAUUCUGUAUGCUUGGUGUUAUGUCAUCCUUGGAUAUCUCAUCACCGUCAUCCGGGGAAUUUCUUCAUCUCUCUCCUAUGCUGAAUCUUAGUCUUUGCACUUUCGUCUUCAUUUUGCUUGGUUUAUGCCCUUAUUUUUACGAAGCACAUUCUCUAGUAGUUUAUUGAGAAAGACCAUAUGGAGGUAAAGUUUGUGAGACCUUGUACAAAUAAAAAUGUCUUCAUUU